This 660-nucleotide ribosomal RNA is filed under the name uncultured bacterium. Its description in RNAcentral is "bacterial SSU rRNA". It matches the Rfam family "Bacterial small subunit ribosomal RNA", at positions 94 to 788 of the family's 1533-position model. The record is from RNAcentral.
AGUGGCGGACGGGUGAGUAACGCGUGAGAAUCUGCCUUGGGGUCGGGGACAACCACUGGAAACGGUGGCUAAUACCGGAUAAGCCGAUUGGUGAAAGAUUUAUUGCCCGAAGAGGAGCUCGCGUCUGAUUAGCUAGUUGGUGAGGUAAGAGCUCACCAAGUCAGCGAUCAGUAGCUGGUCUGAGAGGACGAUCAGCCACACUGGGACUGAGACACGGCCCAGACUCCUACGGGAGGCAGCAGUGGGGAAUUUUCCGCAAUGGGCGAAAGCCUGACGGAGCAAGACCGCGUGAGGGAGGAAGGCUCUUGGGUUGUAAACCUCUUUUCUCAGGGAAGAAGCUCUGACGGUACCUGAGGAAUCAGCCUCGGCUAACUCCGUGCCAGCAGCCGCGGUAAUACGGAGGAGGCAAGCGUUAUCCGGAAUUAUUGGGCGUAAAGCGUCCGCAGGUGGCGAUUCAAGUCUGCUGUCAAAGCACGGGGCUUAACUCCGUAAAGGCAGUGGAAACUGAAUAGCUAGAGUGCCGUAGGGGUAGAGGGAAUUCCCGGUGUAGCGGUGAAAUGCGUAGAGAUCGGGAAGAACAUCGGUGGCGAAAGCGCUCUACUGGACGGCAACUGACACUCAGGGACGAAAGCUAGGGGAGCGAAUGGGAUUAGAUACCCC